AUUAAUUUCAUCUCUGGGUCUCUUUUGAUCUACGGCACUCACUAUUUGCUCGUUUAGAUUCACAUUCGCAUCAACAUGUAAGUGAUAAAGACUGUCAAUUAAAAGAUCUCGUGCAACCAAUUUAUUUCGUAAAUAAAUGGAACAAAAGUUUUUAUUGAAACUAAUUUCAAAAUCUUCCUGUGCUAGCACAGACACGGAAAUUAAAUUCCGACUAGCUACAGGAACAUAAUAACAGUCUUUCAAAUUUAAUCUAACGCU
This 258-nucleotide long non-coding RNA is filed under the name Elaeis guineensis (African oil palm). RNAcentral describes it as "long non-coding RNA (EGUI_LNC081679)". Lineage: Eukaryota; Viridiplantae; Streptophyta; Magnoliopsida; Arecales; Arecaceae. The record is from RNAcentral.